GGCUCUUUGUUGAGUUGGUUGUGGAAACCGACACUUUUAACACUAAGAUAAAAAUUAGUUUAAUGGCUAACUUUGGAAAAUGACGCAGGGUUCAAAUCCCGAAAAGAGCCACCA
This 114-nucleotide transfer RNA is filed under the name Parahaemophilus parainfluenzae. Its description in RNAcentral is "Haemophilus parainfluenzae tRNA-OTHER". The record is from RNAcentral. Lineage: Bacteria; Pseudomonadati; Pseudomonadota; Gammaproteobacteria; Pasteurellales; Pasteurellaceae.